CGGCAGUAGGUUCCCCAGCUUCUACGGACACCACAAAAAUAAGAGUCUGAUAGACAGGACAAGAGUGAGCACAAAGGAGUGCUAGUACCACCCUCACUUACUGGACUUUGUCCCUGUCUGUGCUUCAGCUUGGACAAAGAGGAUGCUGCUGCCACACAGGUCCAUGUUCUGGACGGGAUUAAGGGAAUCCAGCUUCAUAGCCAUGACCAGGAUGAACAUCAUCGCAGAAUCUUUAAUAUGUCAGAUGCUGAAGGAUUUUAUACUGAAUGUUCUCUCGUGUUUUAUGCUUCAUUUUUAUUUAAUAGGAUUUGGUCUGUGGAAAAGGCCUUUAAUAUAUUAUUAAAACUGUACGUAUGUAGUUUUCCCCAUAAAACAAAUAUAAGAGCAACUAUCUUUAUAAGAUUCAUGUAAUUUCGACAUCCUUUCAUAUAAA
Molecule: long non-coding RNA, 433 nt
Organism: Hyla sarda
Lineage: Eukaryota; Metazoa; Chordata; Amphibia; Anura; Hylidae
Exons: 3
Source: RefSeq, a predicted model, not a curated record